UCGCCUCCUCUCAAUCCCUAAUUCCCAAAUCCCCCAUAUCCAUAUGAAAAUUCCAUGCUGGUCUCUGGUGGAAUUCCAGAGAGACGAGCCGCCAAAUCAGCGGGAUUUUGGUCUAAUCUGUUGCACGAUUGUGCGGCAUAACCUGGUGCCAAUCCACCAAGCCUAGAUCGGUUCUUCUCAGGUAUGCCUCGUGACGCACAUGUGUAUUAGAUUUAGUCUUUAGACUAAAUUUCGCUACCGAACUAAUUUGAAAAUUUUGCUGUUCUCUUCCUUGAUUCAUGUACAACUAGGAGGUUAUGGACAUAUUUUUGUUAAAACGGCCACUACCAUCAGAUGCAGCAGGGACUUCAAGGCCACUUAGACUUAGGCAAGAUAAUGGUCAUAUAUCAAGUGUUUGUAUUAUUACUCCAGCUAAAAUAAAUUUAGAUGAUCUUCCUCCCGAUCCAGCUGAUUGAAAAAGAAUAUCAUAGUACGCGAAGAAUCAUAAGAAGCAAGACGAGAUUAGAUGGAGAUAUUUAACUAGAUGACUUUACAUGCCACAAGAAGUCUUUAAAUAUCCGCACAAGACAAUAGUAGGAUUUGAACAAAAAAAUAAUCUAGAAUGGUUUAAAGACUAUCAUUGCCUAGAGUGGUAAUGUGCAUAAGGCAUUUUGUUUGUGUUGCUAUCUAUUCAUACUUUCAUAGAUUGCAUCGACGACCAAGGUGGUAAUGAUGCAUUUGUUGUUAAUGGUUUCUCUAAUUGGAAUAAGAAAAGCAGACUAGAUAAUCAUGUGGGUGAGGAGUUCAUGAGUGAUUGCCUGAUUUUGUACGUGAUGAAGGAUAUAUUUUCUAGAAUUACGAAUGAUAUUGUGAUGGAUCUAUUUAAGAAGAUGAAAGAUCGAGAAGAAAAGUUAUAAAAUGUGAGCCCCGUGUCACUUCAUAUUUUGCUUAAUGAUGUUUAUUUUCUGUAUUACUUGUUUUGUACCAUUGUUGUAAAUAUAAUAUGUUCUGUCGUUCAUUCUUUUCAGGAAGAAACAACUAAAAUUCUUGAAGUCACCAUUUUGCUUAUUAUUUUCUGACUAUGUCAAGAAGUGGCUAUACGACUUCACUCAGCGCGUGCUUGGUAUGACAAUUUUUUAUGUAAUGAUAAUAUUGUUGGAUCAUCGCAUGUUUUUGCUCUUUGUCCGCUCUCUAACAUUAUGUGUGCUGCACCGCUAUAGUUUGUGCUAGAGUGGGCAGAGCUUGACACCAGUGCCCAUUUUUUCUAGCUUCGUCCCUGCAUUUCUCAAGUUAUGUUGAUUUCUGGAGUGCAAGUGCCUUCGUAUAUUUUAAAUUAAAUUUUCGCCUUGGUAACUUGAAUUCGUGGAUCCGCCACUGCACACAAAUCAUACACACAUGCCAGUAGGAAUUAAAUGGAAUGCAGGGACUUACGCUAGCUCGUUGUAUUGGCUCACUGCAGCUCUGCUUGCGCUUGGGAUGUUCCAUGUACAAGUCCAUGUUACCACUUGCUUGGAUGUGUAGGCCUUAUGCUCCUUGCAUCCCCCUCUACAUUUUUGACAUAGUGAAUGGUUGAUCAAAUAAGAG
RNAcentral lists this long non-coding RNA (1563 nucleotides) under Triticum aestivum (bread wheat). RNAcentral's name for it is "long non-coding RNA (TAES_LNC006925)". Lineage: Eukaryota; Viridiplantae; Streptophyta; Magnoliopsida; Poales; Poaceae. The record is from RNAcentral.